UUGAUACUUACCUUACCAGAGUAUCCGCCCGAGAACUACGAGCACAAACGCUUAAAACUCUAAGGACUUGGCGGUGCCCCAAACCCACCUAGAGGAGCCUGUUCUAUAAUCGAUAACCCACGCUACACCCCACCACUCCUUGCCCCAACAGCCUACAUACCGCCGUCUCCAGCCCACCUCUUCUGAGAGCUUAAUAGUGAGCCCAAUAGCCCCUCCCGCUAAAAAGACAGGUCAAGGUAUAGCUCACGGAGUGGCAGAAAUGGGCUACAUUUUCUAGAAUAGAGAACCAAUCACGGAAGGGGGUGUGAAAUAACCCCUGGAAGGCGGAUUUAGCAGUAAACUGGGACAAUAAAGCCCUAUUUAAGCUGGCCCUGAGGCACGUACAUACCGCCCGUCACCCUCCUCGCAGGCUAUAACCCCACAUAGCUAAUAACCCACUAUGCCAAAGAUGAGGUAAGUCGUAACAAGGUAAGUGUACCGGAAGGUGCACUUA
This 493-nucleotide ribosomal RNA is filed under the name Buteo galapagoensis (Galapagos hawk). RNAcentral describes it as "partial 12S small subunit ribosomal RNA". It matches the Rfam family "Bacterial small subunit ribosomal RNA", at positions 801 to 1520 of the family's 1533-position model. The record is from RNAcentral. Lineage: Eukaryota; Metazoa; Chordata; Aves; Accipitriformes; Accipitridae.